CCUACGGGUGGCAGCAGUGGGGAAUAUUGGGCACUGGGCGAAAGCCUGACCCAGCAACGCCGCGUGAAGGAAGAAGGCUUUCGGGUUGUAAACUUCUUUUCUCAGGGACGAAGCAAGAGACGGUACCUGAGGAAUAAGUCACGGCUAACUACGUGCCAACAACCGCGGUAAUACGUAGGUGGCAAGCGUUAUCCGGAUUUACUGGGUGUAAAGGGCGUGUAGGCGGGAAAGCAAGUCAGAUGUGAAAACCAUGGGCUCAACCUGUGGCCUGCAUUUGAAACUGGUUUUCUUGAGUACUGGAGAGUCUGACGGAAUUCCUAGUGUAGCGGUGAAAUGCGUAGAGAUUAGGAGGAACACCAGUGGCGAAGGCGGUCUGCUGGACAGUAACUGACGCUGAGGAGCGAAAGCGUGGGGAGCAAACAGGAUUAGAUACCCUUGUAGUC
Molecule: ribosomal RNA, 443 nt
Filed under: uncultured bacterium
Lineage: Bacteria
Description: partial 16S ribosomal RNA
Rfam family: Bacterial small subunit ribosomal RNA
Source: RNAcentral